Molecule: ribosomal RNA, 497 nt
Filed under: uncultured bacterium
Lineage: Bacteria
Description: partial 16S ribosomal RNA
Rfam family: Bacterial small subunit ribosomal RNA
Source: RNAcentral
GAUGAACGCUGGCGGCGUGCCUAAUACAUGCAAGUCGAGCGAACAGAUGAGGAGCUUGCUCCUCUGACGUUAGCGGCGGACGGGUGAGUAACACGUGGAUAACCUACCUAUAAGACUGGGAUAACUUCGGGAAACCGGAGCUAAUACCGGAUAAUAUAUUGAACCGCAUGGUUCAAUAGUGAAAGACGGUUUUGCUGUGACUUAUAGAUGGAUCCGCGCCGCAUUAGCUAGUUGGUAAGGUAACGGCUUACCAAGGCAACGAUGCGUAGCCGACCUGAGAGGGUGGUCGGCCACACUGGAACUGAGACACGGUCCAGACUCCUACGGGAGGCAGCAGUAGGGAAUCUUCCGCAAUGGGCGAAAGCCUGACGGAGCAACGCCGCGUGAGUGAUGAAGGUCUUCGGAUCGUAAAACUCUGUUAUUAGGGAAGAACAAAUGUGUAAGUAACUAUGCACGUCUUGACGGUACCUAAUCAGAAAGCCACGGCUAACUACGUG